UUUCUCUGAAAGUGUUCCUCAAAGAAGCCAGUAUUUGAAUUGUUUGCUACUCAGCCACGAAGAGAUAAGAAGCCUGUGUCAGAAUGCAUGUGAACACGCUGCUUGCUUCCUAGAAGCCUUGCUUUGAAAAAGAAGGUCUGCCCAUCCACAUCAUUUUGGCUGAAUGCGUGACCUAUCCAAUCCUUCCUCUCAUGGAAACACCAACUCAUCCAUGCCCUCUGUGCUGAAACUUCGUCUCAGCCUGCUGGAAUCACCUGCACCCCAUGGGAACUGUAGCCAUAUCUUCAGUCCUGUGAGCCCCCGUCAUGGCCUGUCACAGGAGUAAAUGAGGAGUAAGGCCCAGAAUACUCAGUACCUCUCAAUGACCCUCAGACGCUGUAGGAAGAGGAUUGGUUCACCUUUUAACCCAGAAUUUCUCACAUUGAAUGGACAGGAUGCAUUCCAAGAGGCCAGAGUAUGUGCAUCUCAGCUCCUGAUGGUUUCCACCACCACCAUUACUUUCUCUAUGUCAAGAUACCUGGGAAGCCGGUGUUUCAUUUGCAUUCUUGGAGCCCAGGAACUGUCUUCUACAAACUUUUCUU
Molecule: long non-coding RNA, 581 nt
Organism: Homo sapiens (human)
Lineage: Eukaryota; Metazoa; Chordata; Mammalia; Primates; Hominidae
Product: long intergenic non-protein coding RNA 607
Source: Ensembl